RNA transcript from Trachymyrmex cornetzi, 3633 nucleotides. It is a transcript of the gene named sodium- and chloride-dependent transporter XTRP3, with no coding region annotated. NCBI's taxonomy places the organism in Eukaryota, Metazoa, Arthropoda, Insecta, Hymenoptera, Formicidae. The record is from RefSeq and is a predicted model, not a curated record. The transcript has 13 exons.
CGGUGGCGACGACAACGACGAGAGGGGCAACAUUGACGUCGGCGAUCACGUCUUCCUCGUGCGCAGAGUUGGGCCGAGGGAGACCAACUAUGAUUCUGGACUCAUGACUUCCACCCACAUCGACUCGAAAACGGCAGCGACUUAAAGGAAUCUGACUUAUGAAACGAGAACGAAGCGGGAAGACGCUGAUUUCGACCGAAACUGAAGAGGCGCCGAAGAGAGUUUAAGGGCUGACGAGAACCACCCUCUGUGAAAAUCGAGCUACUUUAAAUCUCAAACGUCGUAUCACCGCUGCUUCGGGAAGCCAGAAAUUAGAACCUCUCGUCCCUCUUUCUUUCAUCCCUUUCUCUCUCUUUAUCCCUCUUUUGCUCUCUUCUCUCCUUCUCUCUACCGCUCUCCCUCAUUUCGGUGUCUCACUUCCGCGCGGAAGAUCGAUCGAUAUUUCGUCCCGACGGCGGCUAUUAACGACACGCGUACUUUCAUUCGCUCCCUCUCUCACUCCGUUUUUCACGCUACGAUUGCUUCCAAACGUUAGGUGCGCCAACCCCUUUCGCAACCAACUGGUCGCUUCUUCCAUCAAUGUCAGAUAGUGCGAGUUAAAAUCCCGCGUAUCCCUCAACCCCGUUGGUAUCCUUUGACAGCGAGGACUAUAGCACGUGAUCCAUUGGUUCCCUCGUAACGUCGUUCGUCAGCCGGUGCUCGAUUUUUAUCGGUUCGCCUACGUGCCACCCACUCCAUUUCGCGAAUAGGUCCUACCCUAUGACGUAUCCUUCCUCGUACUUCGCGUCCUUACCAUCCUACCGCAGCCUGUUUCUACGCGGUCGCGUAUGCGUCCGCAAACAGUCAAUAAGGAGUACUAUCGGGGCACACACGUAUCAAAAAGGAACGAACGGAACUCGAAUAAAAAACCAUUCCUUUCGUCGUCGGGAAGGGGUGUAUGCGUAAUAUUAAGAAACAAAUUGUUGCUGGUUACUUCUCGAGGAGGGAGAGACCGAUCUCAGUAUUUUUUCGGACGCCAUAGUGCGGACGCUGGUUAACAUUACGAAUAAAUAGUGAAGAGAUAACUACUGUUGACAUUGUUGUUAUUAUUGUUAUAUUAACUUUAUUGUUAUAUCCCCGUUAUUGCUGUACGUCCGCUGCUCAUCCGCUCCCGCUGAAGUCGAUGAACAGUGUGGCGGUGAUAGUGGUAGUGGUAUCAGUGAGGGGUACGUGAACGCGCGGACGGUGUUAGAUAAGCGUGUUUCUGCCAAAUCUCUCGUGUGGAGAAGGAGAGAAAGUGAAGAGAAGGGGACCGGGAUUCUUUAACUCUAGGGAUUCUUUAACUUCAUACGAAGAUACAAACGGUGAGAUCGGAAUCCGCGUGUACUCGAGGAAAAGGAAAUAAACAGGCGGCAGGAAGUGGAGAAGAGAAGCGCGUUGGGGUCGCGCGCCGAGUGAGCUUGGCAAACAAACACGAAGAGUGUGCUAAAGAUCUCAAUUAAGUACACCACCCGCAGGGAGGAGUGAUCGAUUCAUUGUGUACCCAUCGAGACCCACAGGAGAAUGGUAGUCGAGACCGGAAGAAAUGGGCACGAGCUGGCUCCCUUGAACAACCACCGCCAACCCGGCCACAACGUGACGAUCGUGGCGACAGCAACUCAAAAUGUUGUUGGUCAGGAAACGAAGGAAGAGAACAGGGCGGCGUGGAGCGGGAAAAUGCAAUUUUUUCUCAGUAUUAUUGGAUACAGCGUCGGUCUGGGUAAUAUCUGGAGGUUUCCUUAUCUGUGCCAACAGAACGGAGGUGGUGCCUUCCUCAUUCCCUUUUUCGUGAUGCUUAUCCUGGAGGGUGUACCCCUCUUUUUAAUCGAGUUGGGUCUCGGACAACGUAUGCGGCAGGGUGCCCUGGGAGUAUGGAACACAAUACACCCUUGGCUAGGUGGUAUAGGGAUCGCGUCGUGUAUAGUGACGUUUUUCGUUGCGCUUUACUACAACGUAAUUAUUACCUGGUGCGUCUACUACCUCUUCAACUCGGUCGAGGCCAUCACGAUCAAAUUUGGCGAAUCACUGCCGUGGGCAAAAUGCCCGGUAUUGGACGGGAAACCGGUCGAGGAAUGUGUCAAAAGUUCGGAGACCGCGUAUUUUUGGUACAGGACUACUUUGGAUGCGGCACCGUCCAUUGAGGAUGGCCAAGGUCUCAAAUGGUGGAUCGUACUUUGUCUUUUGCUCAGCUGGGUUGUCGUGUUUUUCAUCGUCAUGAAAGGAAUACAGUCGUCCGGCAAAGUAGUAUACUUUACGUCAAUGUUCCCAUAUCUCGUACUAACCAUCUUUUUCAUCCGCGGGAUAACGUUGAAAGGAGCAAGCGCCGGACUGGCGCACAUGUACACGCCAAAGGUCGAGAAAUUGUUGGAGCCCACGGUCUGGCUUGACGCGGCGACCCAGGUCUUCUAUAGUUUCGGGCUGGCGUUCGGCUCCCUGAUAGCAUUUGGCAGCUACAAUACUCCUGACAACCACUGCGUGAGGGACGUGAUCCUGGUGAGCGUGUGCAACGCGUUUACUGCCAUUUACGCGAGCGUUGUCAUUUUCGCCAUUUUGGGGUUCAAGGCAAUGUCAAACGUGGACAAGUGCGUCGUCAGUGCGAGGGAUACCCUGAUACAAAAUGGGCUAGUGCCUAAUUCGACCUCAUUCAGCCUCGAGGACUACGAACUCUUUAUGAGCACCUCCUACAAUUCUUCAAUGAAUUUUACGAUGAAAUCAUGCAGUCUCAGCAAGGAAUUGGACAACGCUGCCGAGGGCACCGGACUGGCUUUCAUCAUCUUUACACAGGCAAUCGUGGAAUUGCCGGGUGCUCCGUUUUGGUCUUGCAUUUUCUUCAUGAUGCUUCUUGCCCUCGGCUUGGGUUCGCAAAUCGGACUACUCGAGGGUAUGCUCUGCGUAAUUUUCGAAAUAGAUCUCUUCAAAAGAAUAAAGAAGCAAUAUAUGACAGGAGUUGUUUGCGUUGUAUGCUUCUUCGUUGGGCUCAUCUUCUGUACUGGCGCCGGAGAAUAUUGGCUGAAGAUGUUUGAUAGUUUCGCCGGCACCAUCGGUCUCGUUAUAGUCGCCCUAAUGGAAAUGAUCUCUGUGAUUUUCGUGUACGGUCACGAAAAAUUUACGAAGGACAUCGAAGAGAUGACCGGAUAUAAACCUGGAGCUUAUUGGCAAGUCACGUGGCGGUUUCUCGCUCCCAUAAUAAUGCUUUGCAUCCUUGUGUUUAGCAUCAUUUCCAUGUUCAUCAAGAAACCACAAUAUUCGGCGUGGAAUGCGGCAACGGGUGAGACAGAGCCCACGAGUUAUCCUGGCUGGGUGCUGGGUAUUGCCGUCAUCAUCAUUUUGGCAGGAAUCGCUCCGAUUCCGAUCGUUUUCCUUUUACGACGAUUCCAAUUGGUGAAACUCGACGUGGAUAUACAUCAAGGCAGUAUUCGACGUAUCGAUACCACUGUUUCUACCAAAGAGAUGAUGGGCGACGUUGACUUGUAGGUAAGCAUCCAUUCUGUCUGUGGUAACGUCGAUUACUCGAUAUCCCCGUAGCUACGUCACACCUUGACGAGUAUCAUGAUCGACUCGAGGACUUCCCGGAAGAAGAUGAAGACAUUAAUAGCGAUGAUGAUAUGAAUACUG